This 607-nucleotide ribosomal RNA is filed under the name uncultured bacterium. RNAcentral's name for it is "bacterial SSU rRNA". It matches the Rfam family "Bacterial small subunit ribosomal RNA", at positions 125 to 731 of the family's 1533-position model. The record is from RNAcentral.
CCUGCCCAUAAGUGGGGAAUAACAGUUGGAAACGACUGCUAAUACCGCAUAAGCUGAGCAAUCAGUAAAGGAGGCUAACGCUUCCGCUUAUGGAUGGGCCCGCGUCUGAUUAGCUAGUUGGUGGGGUAAUGGCCUACCAAGGCAACGAUCAGUAGCCGGCCUGAGAGGGUGGACGGCCACACUGGGACUGAGACACGGCCCAAACUCCUACGGGAGGCAGCAGUGGGGAAUAUUGCGCAAUGGGGGAAACCCUGACGCAGCGACGCCGCGUGAGCGAAGAAGGCCUUAGGGUCGUAAAGCUCUGUUUUAAGGGACGAAUAUCUUCAGUAGUAACUGACUGAGGAAUGACGGUACCUUAAGAGAAAGCCCCGGCUAACUACGUGCCAGCAGCCGCGGUAAGACGUAGGGGGCGAGCGUUGUCCGGAAUUACUGGGCGUAAAGAGCACGUAGGCGGGAUUUUAAGUCAGGUGUGAAAGACCGUGGCUCAACCACGGGGUUGCACAUGAAACUGGAAUUCUUGAGGGCAGGAGAGGAAAGUGGAAUUCCUGGUGUAGCGGUGAAAUGCGUAAAAAUCAGGAGGAACACCGGUGGCGAAGGCGACUUUCUG